Molecule: ribosomal RNA, 391 nt
Filed under: uncultured bacterium
Lineage: Bacteria
Description: bacterial SSU rRNA
Rfam family: Bacterial small subunit ribosomal RNA
Source: RNAcentral
UGGGCUUGACAUGUUGGUGGUAGUGAAGCGAAAGUGGAACGACCCUUCGGGGAGCCUUCACAGGUGCUGCAUGGCUGUCGUCAGCUCGUGUCGUGAGAUGUUGGGUUAAGUCCCGCAACGAGCGCAACCCUUGUCGUUAGUUACAUGUGUCUAACGAGACUGCCGGUAUCAAACCGGAGGAAGGUGGGGAUGACGUCAAGUCAGCAUGGUCUUUAUGUCCAGGGCUACACACACGCUACAAUGGCCGGUACAAUAGGUUGCCACACCGCGAGGUGGCGCUAAUCCUCAAAGCCGGUCUCAGUUCGGAUUGCAGUCUGCAACUCGACUGCAUGAAGGUGGAGUUGCUAGUAACCGCGCGUCAGCAUAGUGCGGUGAAUGCGAAGCCGGGCCU